CAGCAGUCGCCACGGUAAUACAGAGGUCCCGAGCGCUGUUCGGAUUCACUGGGCGUAAAGGGUGUGUAGGAGGUUGGAUAAGUCAGGUGUGAAAUCCCACAGCUUAACUGUGGAACUGCAUUCGAUACUGUCUGACUAGAGGAUCGGAGGGGGAAGCGGAAUUCUUGGUGUAGCGGUGAAAUGCGUAGAUAUCAAGAGGAACACCGGUGGCGAAGGCGGCUUCCUGGACGAUUCCUGACUCUGUAACACGAAAGCCAGGGGAGCGAAUGGGAUUAGAUACCCCCGUAGUCCCUGUCUCUUAUAC
Molecule: ribosomal RNA, 304 nt
Filed under: uncultured bacterium
Lineage: Bacteria
Description: partial 16S ribosomal RNA
Rfam family: Bacterial small subunit ribosomal RNA
Source: RNAcentral